CAAAGGUAGCGUAAUCACUUGUCUUAUAAAUAAAGACCCGUAUGAAUGGCUAAAUGAAUAUUUAACUGUCUCCUUUAACUAAUCAGUGAAACUGAUCUUUCAGUACAAAAGCUGAAAUAUAAACAUAAGACGAGAAGACCCUGUGGAGCUUUAAAUUUUAACCAAAGUACACAUAUAAAGUAUAAUUAUGGUAAAAAAUUUUUAGUUGGGGCGACUUUGGAGUAAAACACAACCUCCAAGAAAAGGCACCGCCUAAACGAGGCCCACAAGCCAAAACCACACGACCCAGUACUACUGAUUAACGAACCAAGUUACCCCAGGGAUAACAGCGCCAUCUUCUUCAAGAGUUCAUAUCGACAAGAAGGUUUACGACCUCGAUGUUGGAUCAGGACACCCAAAUGGUGCAGCCGCUAUUAAAGGUUCGUUUGUUCAACGAUUAACAGU
RNAcentral lists this ribosomal RNA (444 nucleotides) under Anolis crassulus. RNAcentral's name for it is "partial 16S ribosomal RNA". It matches the Rfam family "Bacterial large subunit ribosomal RNA", at positions 1951 to 2594 of the family's 2925-position model. The record is from RNAcentral. Lineage: Eukaryota; Metazoa; Chordata; Lepidosauria; Squamata; Anolidae.